GAAGCAGUCCAGAUCCUGGGAGGAAACCCAGAAGGGAGGUUAUGCCAGGGCCCUCACCCACCCCGGUCCUCCAGCCUGUCCCCCAGCUCUGGAAGGCAGCGUGGGAGCUUCACUGCAGGGAAGGAGGGCAUUUGGGAGAGGGAAGCUGGCCUGCCAGGAGGACCGGGCGGAGGGCCAUGGCUCCCUCCUCCACCUUCCUCACACGGGCAGAACUUACACUGUCCUCGCAGCUCUGUGUGCACGGCCCAUCCACAGUGCUGCACUGGAAGGAAGAGGAGAGACUGAAUGUGGACACUGCAUGUGUAGUAGAAAUGGCACGUGAUCUUCCCUGCUUUAUAAGGAGGCUCUUUUCCAGCUCAAAGCCAGGUUCGGGUUUGCCCAGGGCUGCAGCUGCAAGAUGAGUCACGGUUCUACUUCCCCUGGAAGGGCAGAAGUUGCAUAAGAUUGUUGAGGCUCAAGCGAGAUAAUGUGUGAGGCUGUUACUCCAGACUAGAGCCUUGAUUUUUAAACUUCAGCGUGCAUCAGAAUCGCCUGGAAGGUUUGUUAGAACCCCGCCCCCAGAGUUUCUCCUUCAGGGGGUCCAGGGUGGGCCUGAGAGUUUCUGAAGUGUUCCCAGGGGUUGCCGAUGCUGCUAGUCCAGGCACUAUAUUUAGGGAACCCCCGUCCUAAAGCCUCACCAAUUGAAUCUCCUAAGAUGAUGAAGAUGGCCUACAUCUGUGCUGUCCUAAACGGUAGCCAACAGCCACACGUGGCUACUGAGAACUCGGAGUGUGGCUAGCACGCCUGAGGACCCGAAUUUAAAAAACAGUUAAUUUUAAUUAACUUAAAUUUAAAUAGCCACGUAUGGUUGGUGGCCAGCGUUUUGGACAGUGUUGUUCUAGAGCUCAUCUGAGUUUGCAGAUGAAGAAACCGAGGCUUUGAGAGGUACCUCCCCUCCCUUGGAGUCUCAUGGCAAUCCUGGGGUGGUGCUCCGGCUGGCUGGCCUUCUUGAACAGGUCCUGUGAUAUGGGAACAUUUGAGUGCUUUGGGGGUGUCUUUGUUGCUUUGAGUUCCAGGUAGCUGAAAGGAGUGGGCUGGAAGGGGACGGGGAGACCCAUUUGCUGGCUCAUGACAAAGAUGAGAGCUGCAGACACAGCGCACAGCGGCAGCUUCAGGGGCCUUGCUGACCUCCUUCCUCUCCAUUUUGCUGUGCCCUCUCACUGUCCCUGAACUUGAGAUCCUGGAGGUUUAGCUGUGCUCUGGGUCCCUUGAAGACUUCGGAGGCAAUCCACUAAGAAAUGGGGAUUUAAGUGAGACAUGAAGAAGAACUUCCUUAUGGCAAGAACUAUAAGAUGUUGAAGACAAGACACAGUAUUGGGAGUAAAGGCGGUGAGGCACGGAAAUAUAUUUACCAACACCCAGGGAACCGAGUCUUCUCCCCCAGGAUCCCUGCUCUGCUCGUUCAGGUGAGUGGUUACUUGCGGGGAGGACUGCCCUUCCUCCCAUCAUCUCCUGCUAGCCAGCUGUGUGCAGGAGACAACACCUUAUGAUAUUAUGUUUGCAGACAAGCUCACACCUUUCGGUGAAGAGAAAUUCAGGCAAAGGGCCCGAGGGAAUGCAAAGCACUCGGCUUUUCCUGUUGCUUUCCUGGGAGUUAUCAGGAAAGCUUCCCUCAUGCCUGUGCAUGGUGGGCCCCUGUUUUAGACCCUGACCUUCGUCCCCAGGAGGGCCUGUCAUGACCUGAAAGAGGAGGACAAAUCUCAGACCCCUUCCUGCCCCAGCGGGCCUCCUGCCCCAGCUGACCUGGGUCCCUUCCCUCCCUCCUGUCCUCCCUCUCUGGGCUGUCCCUUGCCUUCCCUCUCUGCCCUGCCUCUCCACAUUGAUCUCGUGCCUUCCUCCCAAGCAGCUUUCCUGUAAGAUCGCAGCUCAGCUCCGCUGGCAGACAACCUAACAAAGAGCCUCAAUAAGGCCAGACCCGCAGGCGGCUUAUCAAGAUGUACGUCUUUGCUGUGCACACAGACUGUCACCUCGGUGCUGCUGUGUCAUCACAGAAGGCAAAACCAAACAACUGUGCAUGCACACACACAUACAUGCACACACAUGGACACACACAUAUAUGCACACACGGACACACAUGCAUGCACACACACUUGCACACACAUACCCAUGCACGCACACAUGGACACACAGGCAUACGCACACACUUGCACACACAUGCAUAUACACGUGCACCAUGCACAUGCACACAUACGUACACACACAUGCACAUACAUAGCAUGCACAUGAACAUAUGAGUUUGCACACUGUUGAGUGCUGUGGUCCCAGGAGUCAGAAGCUCCAGCUUUGCCCUCCUAGCCCUUUAUCUGCUUCUCUUUCCUCCUCCUCUGUCUUGAGAACCUAACCAGGAGACUGCGUGUUGCACGGGAUAGGGACUGUGGGGCAUGAGAGGGAUCAUCUUUUGUAACACAAGCUGAGGACCCGACAGGUGCACAGCGAAUACUUAGGUCACAGAAGGCCAGUGCCAGAAGGGAGACCAGAGAUCUCAACCCAUCUCCUCAUUCUGCAGGGCAGGAAUCCCAGCCAGCACAAGGCCCAGGGCUGCUGAGUGAACUCACUAGCUAGCUAGUCACUGAGCAACAGAGUCUGGAGUCUGGGUCCCCUGAUGCCCAGUCUUGAGCUCUUUCAUGUCCUCCAUUCCUCACUCAGUUGACACGAAGGCACUGGGGCCUGAAGGACACGGAACAGGUGAGGCCAGUCCCCCUGCUUGAACAGCUCUGUGUAGGAAAGGAGAUGACUCCCUCUCCCCUCUCCCCUCUCCCCACGGUCUCCCUCUCCCUCUCUUUCCCCGGUCUCCCUCUGAUGCCGAGCCGAAGCUGGACUGUACUGCUGCCAUCUCGGCUCACUGCAACCUCCCUGCCUGAUUCUCCUGCCUCAGCCUGCCAAGUGCCUGCGAUUGCAGGCGUGCGCCGCCACGCCUGACUGGUUUUCAUAUUUUUUUGGUGGAGACGGGGUUUCGCUGUGUUGGCCGGGCUGGUCUCCAGCUCCUAACCGCGAGUGAUCCGCCA
This 3044-nucleotide long non-coding RNA is filed under the name Homo sapiens (human). RNAcentral's name for it is "HSALNT0184173". The record is from RNAcentral. Lineage: Eukaryota; Metazoa; Chordata; Mammalia; Primates; Hominidae.